GUUGGUGUUGAUUGCGGUGAGGGUCCACCCGUUCCCAUCCCGAACACGGAAGUUAAGCUCACUUGCGCCGAAAAUACUUGUCUGGAGACGGACCGGGAAGAUAGGUAACGCCGACA
RNAcentral lists this ribosomal RNA (116 nucleotides) under Flavonifractor plautii. Lineage: Bacteria; Bacillati; Bacillota; Clostridia; Eubacteriales; Oscillospiraceae. The record is from RNAcentral.